AUUGAACGCUGGCGGCAGGCCUAACACAUGCAAGUCGAACGGUAACAGGAAGCAGCUUGCUGCUUUGCUGACGAGUGGCGGACGGGUGAGUAAUGUCUGGGAAACUGCCUGAGGGAGGGGGAUAACUACUGGAAACGGUAGCUAAUACCGCAUAACGUCGCAAGACCAAAGAGGGGGACCUUCGGGGCUCUUGCCAUGGGAUGUGCCCAGAUGGGAUUAGCUAGUAGGUGGGGUAACGGCUCACCUAGGCGACGAUCCCUAGCUGGUCUGAGAGGAUGACCAGCCACACUGGAACUGAGACACGGUCCAGACUCCUACGGGAGGCAGCAGUGGGGAAUAUUGCACAAUGGGCGCAAGCCUGAUGCAGCCAUGCCGCGUGUAUGAAGAAGGCCUUCGGGUUGUAAAGUACUUUCAGCGGGGAGGAAGGGAGUAAAGUUAAUACCUUUGCUCAUUGACGUUACCCGCAGAAGAAGCACCGGCUAACUCCGUG
This 490-nucleotide ribosomal RNA is filed under the name uncultured bacterium. Its description in RNAcentral is "partial 16S ribosomal RNA". It matches the Rfam family "Bacterial small subunit ribosomal RNA", at positions 30 to 507 of the family's 1533-position model. The record is from RNAcentral.